This 1303-nucleotide long non-coding RNA is filed under the name Heterocephalus glaber (naked mole-rat). RNAcentral describes it as "lncRNA (ENSHGLG00100038971.1)". Lineage: Eukaryota; Metazoa; Chordata; Mammalia; Rodentia; Bathyergidae. The record is from RNAcentral.
CUGGAACCCAGGAAGCCAGGCCAUCCUGACGCCUGCUGGCUCCACAGCCCACGCCCAUCGGCGCCGUGCACUCCGACCUGCCCUCCCAGCCCCCACAUCGGGACAAAGUCCAGCCCCACAGCAAAAACCAGGUGAGGCCAGGGUGAGACCCCCCGCCCCAGCGUUUGAGCUGGCUGGCCCUACCCCUGACCCUUCCACCGCUGGCCCAGGCGCUGAACUCCACCAAUGGAGAGCUGAAUGCGGACGACCCCACUGCAGGGCAUUCCAACGCUCCCAUCACAGCCCCGGCAGAGGUUGAGGUGGCUGAUGACACCAAGUGCUGCUGUUUCUUCAAGAGGAGGAAGAGAAAAUCACUGCAGCGGCACAAGUGACCCAGGCGCUCUUGGCAUGGGACUGUCCUCGAUGUUGCCCUCGGGUCAGCUUGUCCCCGAGGCCAUGGGCCACCUACAGGCCGGCCAGCGACUAGCUGCAGCCCCAGUUAGACUGCAGGGCCGCCUGGCCCAGACGUGGGUCCCUUCCUUCACGUAAGACUUUGGCCGAAAUUUCUACACCUGUGUCUAGUCCUCUCCUCCAAGAGCAUUAACUAUUUAAACAAGAAACAAAGGAACCCAGAGGCCCGCUGCCCUCCCCGUCUGCCGAGUGAGUAGCGAGACCGGGCUGGAUGCUGCGCCGCCCGUUAGCCUCAUGAAGUCCAUUUUGUCUCCCUUGAUCCAAAGGCCAUUUCCUCGAGGGGGCAGGGGCAGGGGCAGGGCCAGGCCCAGCCCUGGAGGCGCUGCCCACGAGGGGACCCUGGCACUGCUGUGGGAUGAGACCGGCUCGGUCCAACCCCAGACCAAAGGGGAAGGCGGGGCGGGGCGCAGUCCGGCUGGAGCCAGCCCCCCAACCAAAAUGCUGCACCAAAGCUCGGCUGGAGGCAGCCCUGUGCCAGAGGGUGCACCUGCUCCCGGAGACACCCCGGCCCCUGGGUGGGUGUCCACUGCCCCUGCCUGGGAUCUGGGCCGGCUGGGCCCUCACUGCGCCAGCUGCAGCUGGGGCUUCUGGUCUCGCGCCCGCCAGUGGGGCACAGCUGCGGGAGACAGAUCGCUUAAAGCCCUGCGACCCGCAGGUGUUGCUGGUUGCUGGUGGGGCAGCCGCAGAGCCAGGUGGCGACCCCUGCAGGACCCGGGAAACUGCUGGGUGGGCGAGGUGCCCACUUCCAAGGUGGUGGUCAUUCAGGCGUAGUUCUUGCUUUACAAAGUGUACAGAAAUGGCAUUUACGUUUCUCUGACGCUUCCUUGAAGCCAUAGAAUUUAGGGGCUUUUUU